AUCGUGAACAUAAGAUAAGAGAGUAUUUGUUGGCCUCACAAAUUUCACCUUCUCACAGUUGUCAAGAGUUUGUUACAUUACCUUGUAGCAUAAACUUGAAGAAGUAAAUCAGUCAAAUUUGGUUCGCGGUGGGGCUCCAAAUCUGGAUCUGAAUUUGAUAAUGUAAUGAGCAAAUAAUGGGAUAACACUGGAACCAUUUGGCAUGAUAACUUUAGCUGUUUAGUAUUUCAUCUCAUUCCCUGUGAAGCUCUGAUGCACAUUAGUCCGUUACCUAUUUGCUGUCAUUCUGUUGGUAAAUGAAC
RNAcentral lists this long non-coding RNA (302 nucleotides) under Actinidia chinensis (golden kiwifruit). RNAcentral's name for it is "long non-coding RNA (ACHI_LNC000664)". The record is from RNAcentral. Lineage: Eukaryota; Viridiplantae; Streptophyta; Magnoliopsida; Ericales; Actinidiaceae.